AGAAUCCCGAGUUUGGCCCUUGAGUCUCAGGAUGCAAGAAUCAAGACCAUCACAAUGUGGCUGAGCAAGGAACCAUUAAACCACAGAGAAGACAUGGACCAGAUGAUAUAGACACGGGAGGUACCAAGAACUUUAAUAGAACUUAACAGUCGCUGUGACCUUUGCAUUGAUCCUGUCAUGGAACACAGAGCUGGGAGUUCAGCAAGGCUGGUAGGCACACGGGGAGAUGGCGGAGAC
RNAcentral lists this long non-coding RNA (237 nucleotides) under Marmota monax (woodchuck). The record is from RNAcentral. Lineage: Eukaryota; Metazoa; Chordata; Mammalia; Rodentia; Sciuridae.